UACGUAGGGUGCGAGCGUUAAUCGGAAUUACUGGGCGUAAAGCGUGCGCAGGCGGUUCGUCGUGUCCGAUGUGAAAGCCCCGGGCUCAACCUGGGAACGGCAUUGGAAACUGGCUUACUAGAGUGCGGUAGAGGGGUGUGGAAUUCCCGGUGUAGCAGUGAAAUGCGUAGAUAUCGGGAGGAACAUCUGUGGCGAAGGCGACACCCUGGACCAGCACUGACACUGAGGCACGAAAGCGUGGGGAGCAAACAGG
Molecule: ribosomal RNA, 253 nt
Filed under: uncultured bacterium
Lineage: Bacteria
Description: partial 16S ribosomal RNA
Rfam family: Bacterial small subunit ribosomal RNA
Source: RNAcentral